AAGUUAAUGCAUUCAUUAUUUACAGGAUCCAUAACAUAAGUGUUAAUUAAUUAGUAUAUAUUAACUGCACCAAGUUGAGGAGAGGCGAUUCCUCAAUUUGUGUGCCUUCUUCUGUCGUGGUCGUACUUUAAGGAAAAGCGUUACAAAUUUAAGUGAAACUUAUUUAACUCAUAAUCAAAUCCAUCCAAGCCUUUGAUAGUUUGAU
Molecule: small RNA, 205 nt
Filed under: Arabidopsis thaliana (thale cress)
Lineage: Eukaryota; Viridiplantae; Streptophyta; Magnoliopsida; Brassicales; Brassicaceae
Description: ATSL071380
Source: RNAcentral